Molecule: unclassified non-coding RNA, 302 nt
Filed under: plant metagenome
Description: partial contains small subunit ribosomal RNA, internal transcribed spacer 1, and 5.8S ribosomal RNA
Source: RNAcentral
UUUCCGUAGGUGAACCUGCGGAAGGAUCAUUAAUGGGAAAUCAAAUCAAAUCAAAACAAAUGUUCUGUUGCACUGGGUGUGCUGUGUGGUGGCGGUGUGAGACAUGGAGAUUCAAUCAUUGGAGAUUCAAUCAUUGGAGAUUCAAUCAUUGGAGAUUCAACCAUUGGAAUUUCAAUCAUUGGAGAUUCAAUCAUUCAAUCUCAAUCAUCGCCACACAACACAACUAUCUAUCACACUCGAUCAACAACAACACACUCACACACAACAGCAAACAACUUUUAACAAUGGAUCUCUUGGCUCUU